RNAcentral lists this ribosomal RNA (503 nucleotides) under uncultured bacterium. RNAcentral describes it as "partial 16S ribosomal RNA". It matches the Rfam family "Bacterial small subunit ribosomal RNA", at positions 30 to 523 of the family's 1533-position model. The record is from RNAcentral.
AUUGAACGCUGGCGGCAGGCUUAACACAUGCAAGUCGAGCGGGGUGAUGGUGCUUGCACUAUCACUUAGCGGCGGACGGGUGAGUAAUGCUUAGGAAUCUGCCUAUUAGUGGGGGACAACAUCUCGAAAGGGAUGCUAAUACCGCAUACGUCCUACGGGAGAAAGCAGGGGAUCACUUGUGACCUUGCGCUAAUAGAUGAGCCUAAGUCGGAUUAGCUAGUCGGUGGGGUAAAGGCCUACCAAGGCGACGAUCUGUAGCUGGUCUGAGAGGAUGAUCCGCCACACUGGGACUGAGACACGGCCCAGACUCCUACGGGAGGCAGCAGUGGGGAAUAUUGGACAAUGGGGGGAACCCUGGUCCAGCCAUGCCGCGUGUGUGAAGAAGGCCUUAUGGUUGUAAAGCACUUUAAGCGAGGAGGAGGCUCUUUUGGUUAAUACCCAAGAUGAGUGGACGUUACUCGCAGAAUAAGCACCGGCUAACUCUGUGCCAGCAGCCGCAGUAA